UGCACACUGCUUAUGCCAAGUACAGGAAGUCCUUGUAGUACAGAAUUAUGCAAGCCCUGUUUGACUUUCAGAGCUUUCUUUGAUGUCUGUCUUUGUGUCUUACGGAACACAAGGAGUGGGGAGAAGUACCUGCCUAUGAAAAAACAGCAACACUUUCAAAGAAAAGGCUGGAUGUCACCUCUCGAAAUGCAGUGCUCCAGAAACAGAAGCAGAUGGCUCCUUCUAGGUAAAGCAGUCCUAGGAAAUUACCUGUGUGUCCAUGAAGAGGGGAAUGUGGCCGCGGGAGAGUUGGAGAUGUGCUGGAUGUUACGAUCAAACUCUUUCUGUUGCUUGUCCG
Molecule: long non-coding RNA, 337 nt
Organism: Harpia harpyja (harpy eagle)
Lineage: Eukaryota; Metazoa; Chordata; Aves; Accipitriformes; Accipitridae
Exons: 3
Source: RefSeq, a predicted model, not a curated record